UACGGAGGGGGCUAGCGUUGUUCGGAAUUACUGGGCGUAAAGGGCACGUAGGCGGCGCAGCAAGUUAGAUGUGAAAGACCUGGGCUCAACCGAGGAAUUGCAUUUAAUACUGCUGUGCUAGAGUCCGAGAGAGGUGAGUGGAAUUCCCAGUGUAGAGGUGAAAUUCGUAGAUAUUGGGAAGAACACCAGUGGCGAAGGCG
Molecule: ribosomal RNA, 200 nt
Filed under: uncultured bacterium
Lineage: Bacteria
Description: partial 16S ribosomal RNA
Rfam family: Bacterial small subunit ribosomal RNA
Source: RNAcentral